UUGAUUUAUUAAGUGAGGCGUUGUUUUUCUUUUACAUAUUUUUAUCUGUAGUGAUGACUGAUAAAUUGCCUUAGUUUUUCGACUCUUCGCCCUUCGGGAACAUCACCAACAUACCGUGUGUUCUUUGUAAACAUCGAUUAUCAAUAUAUGAACAAUCCAAUGGAUUUCAAUGUUUUUCAAAAUUUUCGAUUGAUUCAUGAUGGAUUGAUGAAGAUCGGAUUGGCAAUCAACAAUUUGGAUGGUACCAUAAAUAAUACAAUAAUGAAGAGAAACUGAC
Non-coding RNA from Cinara cedri, 277 nucleotides. Lineage: Eukaryota; Metazoa; Arthropoda; Insecta; Hemiptera; Aphididae. The record is from the annotation of a GenBank genome assembly.